Molecule: ribosomal RNA, 442 nt
Filed under: uncultured bacterium
Lineage: Bacteria
Description: partial 16S ribosomal RNA
Rfam family: Bacterial small subunit ribosomal RNA
Source: RNAcentral
CCUACGGGAGGCAGCAGUGGGGGAUAUUGCACAAUGGGGGAAACCCUGAUGCAGCGACGCCGCGUGGGCGAAGAAGUAUUUCGGUAUGUAAAGCCCUAUCAGCAGGGAGGAAGAAAUGACGGUACCUGAGUAAGAAGAACCGGCUAAAUACGUGCCAGCAGCCGCGGUAAUACGUAGGGUGCAGGCGUUAUCCGGAUUUACUGGGUGUAAGGGGUGCGCAGGCGGCACGGCAAGCCUGACGUGAAAGCCCGCGGCCCAACAGCGGGACUGCCUUGGGAACUACCGGGCUGGAGUGCCGGGGAGGUAUGCGGAAUGCGUGGUGUAGCGGUGAAAUGCAUAGAUAUCACGCAGAACCCCGAUUGCGAAGGCAGCAUACCGGUGCACAACUGACGCUCAGGCACGAAAGCGUGGGUAUCGAACAGGAUUAGAUACCCCAGUAGUC